RNAcentral lists this long non-coding RNA (586 nucleotides) under Homo sapiens (human). Its description in RNAcentral is "HSALNT0408268". Lineage: Eukaryota; Metazoa; Chordata; Mammalia; Primates; Hominidae. The record is from RNAcentral.
AUGUAUACAUAUAUAUGUAUAUACGUGUAUAUAUGUAUACAUAUGUGUAUAUAUACACGUAUAUAUACACAUAUGUAUACGUGUGUAUAUAUACGUGUAUAUACACACACGUAUACAUACGUAUAUAUAUACGUGUAUAUAUACACACAUGUAUACAUAUGUGUAUAUGUGUAUAUAUACACACAUGUAUACAUAUAUGUGUAUAUAUACACAUAUGUAUACAUACACGUGUAUAUACACACAUAUGUAUACAUACACGUGUAUAUAUACACAUAUGUAUACAUAUAUGUGUAUACAUACGCACGUAUACACAUGUAUGUAUACAUAUUUGUAUAUAUACUCACAUAUACACAUAUGUAUACAUACAUGUGUAUAUACACGCACACAUACACAUAUAUGUGCAUAUACGCACAUAUAUACAUAUAUGUACACAUAUGUAUAUAUACACACAUAUAUACAUAUAUGUACACAUGUACGUACACAUAUACAUAUAUGUACCUAUAUGUACAUAUAUACUUACAUAUAUACAUACAUAUAAACAUAUAUACCUGUAUGUGUAUAUGUAUACACACACACACACGUACUU